CUACGGGCUGCUCCAGUGAGGAAUAUUGCACAAUGGGGGGAACCCUGAUGCGGCAACGCCGCGUGGAGGAUGACGCAUUUCGGUGUGUAAACUCCUUUUAUAUGUCAAGAAAAUGACGGUAGCAUAUGGAUAAGCACCGGCUAACUCCGUGCCAGCAGCCGCGGUAAUACGGAGGGUGCAAGCGUUACUCGGAAUCACUGGGCGUAAAGGACGCGUAGGCGGGUUGGAAAGUCAGGUGUGAAAUCCUACAGCUUAACUGUAGAACUGCACUUGAAACUUCUAAUCUAGAGUAUGGGAGGGGGAGAUGGAAUUAGUGGUGUAGGGGUAAAAUCCGUAGAUAUCACUAGGAAUACCUAAAGCGAAGGCGAUCUCCUGGAACAUUACUGACGCUAAGGCGUGAAAGCGUGGGGAGCAAACAGGAUUAGAUACCCGUGUAGUC
Molecule: ribosomal RNA, 439 nt
Filed under: uncultured bacterium
Lineage: Bacteria
Description: partial 16S ribosomal RNA
Rfam family: Bacterial small subunit ribosomal RNA
Source: RNAcentral